AUCUUGACAGGCAGUAUAGCUGCUGAAGGCACUCCGUCUUAAAGUGUACCCUAGGCCACCAUGUAAUUGGAGUUCCGCAGAUGGGAAGAGCCCAUGGGGGGAGAAAUAAUAAAUCUUGUAGUGACGUCUAUGUGCGUAUAUUAUGAGCUGUCAUACAGUAUGCAUUACUAAAUGGUGCCCAUGCUCAUCAAGUAUUUCCUGUGUUAGAG
Non-coding RNA from Pelobates cultripes (western spadefoot toad), 209 nucleotides. Lineage: Eukaryota; Metazoa; Chordata; Amphibia; Anura; Pelobatidae. The record is from the annotation of a GenBank genome assembly.